GAGUAGGGCGGAUAAUCGCGGCUGCUUAUGCAGGUGAGGAAAGUCCGGGCUUCACAGGGCAGGAUGCCGGAUAACGUCCGGUGGAGGUGACUCCAAGGCCAGUGCAACAGAGAUAUACCGCCGGAGCGUGCAGCUUGCUACGCGUUCCGGUAAGGGUGGAAAGGCAGUGUAAGAGACUACCGUUCUCAUGGUAACAUGAGAAGCCAUGUAAACCCCAUCCGAAGCAAGACCAGACAAAGGCGAUACGGCUGCCCGUCGUGUCUUUGGGUAGGUCGCUUGAGCCUGCUGGUAACAGCAGGACUAGAUAGAUGAUUAUCACGUGCGUGUUACGCAUUUGACAUAACCCGGCUUACAGCCCUGCUCAA
This 365-nucleotide RNase P RNA is filed under the name uncultured Bacteroides sp. Its description in RNAcentral is "Bacterial RNase P class A". It matches the Rfam family "Bacterial RNase P class A". From Rfam's summary of the family: Ribonuclease P (RNase P) is a ubiquitous endoribonuclease, found in archaea, bacteria and eukarya as well as chloroplasts and mitochondria. Its best characterised activity is the generation of mature 5'-ends of tRNAs by cleaving the 5'-leader elements of precursor-tRNAs. Lineage: Bacteria; Pseudomonadati; Bacteroidota; Bacteroidia; Bacteroidales; Bacteroidaceae. The record is from RNAcentral.